Molecule: ribosomal RNA, 497 nt
Filed under: uncultured bacterium
Lineage: Bacteria
Description: partial 16S ribosomal RNA
Rfam family: Bacterial small subunit ribosomal RNA
Source: RNAcentral
GAUGAACGCUGGCGGCGUGCCUAAUACAUGCAAGUCGAGCGAACGGACGAGAAGCUUGCUUCUCUGAUGUUAGCGGCGGACGGGUGAGUAACACGUGGAUAACCUACCUAUAAGACUGGGAUAACUUCGGGAAACCGGAGCUAAUACCGGAUAAUAUUUUGAACCGCAUGGUUCAAAAGUGAAAGACGGUCUUGCUGUCACUUAUAGAUGGAUCCGCGCUGCAUUAGCUAGUUGGUAAGGUAACGGCUUACCAAGGCAACGAUGCAUAGCCGACCUGAGAGGGUGAUCGGCCACACUGGAACUGAGACACGGUCCAGACUCCGACGGGAGGCAGCAGUAGGGAAUCUUCCGCAAUGGGCGAAAGCCUGACGGAGCAACGCCGCGUGAGGGAUGAAGGUCUUCGGAUCGGAAAACUCUGUUAUUAGGGAAGAACAUAUGUGUAAGUAACUGGGCACAUAUUGACGGUACCUAAUCAGAAAGCCACGGCUAACUACGUG